Molecule: ribosomal RNA, 271 nt
Filed under: uncultured prokaryote
Description: partial 16S ribosomal RNA
Rfam family: Bacterial small subunit ribosomal RNA
Source: RNAcentral
UACGUAGGUCACAAGCGUUGUCCGGAUUUAUUGGGCGUAAAGGGAGCGCAGGCGGUUUGUUAAGUCUGAUGUGAAAGCCCACGGCUCAACCGUGGAACGGCAUUGGAAACUGGCAAACUUGAGUAUAGAAGAGGAAAGUGGAAUUCCAUGUGUAGCGGUGAAAUGCGUAGAUAUAUGGAGGAACACCAGUGGCGAAGGCGACUUUCUGGUCUAUAACUGACGCUGAGGCUCGAAAGCGUGGGGAGCGAACAGGAUUAGAUACCCGCGUAGU